Schistocerca nitens (vagrant locust) is the source of this 238-nucleotide long non-coding RNA. RefSeq lists it as uncharacterized. NCBI's taxonomy places the organism in Eukaryota, Metazoa, Arthropoda, Insecta, Orthoptera, Acrididae. The record is from RefSeq and is a predicted model, not a curated record. The transcript is spliced from 3 exons.
ACAUGCUGUUGGAUGUUGGUGCUGAUCCCAGUAGUGUGGAUGACUGUGGAGUGUCACUGCUCCACAUGCUGGCUUCUAGGCCUGUGGACCAUAAGGAAUUUUCAAAGAUUACAGAGAGGCUCAUACAAAGUGGAAUGAGAGUGAAUGUUGCAGAUCAUAAUGGCAGAACACCAAUACAUUAUGCAGCUAAAGAAGGAAAUUGGAAGUACCUAAAAAUACUCAUUGAUGCUGGAGGCGA